This is a long non-coding RNA of Camelus dromedarius (Arabian camel), 3207 nucleotides long. RefSeq lists it as uncharacterized. The transcript has 3 exons. NCBI's taxonomy places the organism in Eukaryota, Metazoa, Chordata, Mammalia, Artiodactyla, Camelidae. The record is from RefSeq and is a predicted model, not a curated record.
UGGGUCGUGCGCAGGACAGAGAGCGACAUGGCCACUCUCGCCGACCAAGCGAAAAAGCUGCAAAUCCAACCUUCAGGAAUUCUCUUCAGGAUUUCUCACCUUUGGUUUUUUUCCCCCAUGUUUUCAGCGGCUGCCAGCACAGUAACGCACGUUUAGUAGAAUUUCAGCCUCUUGCCUACAGUCUUCCGACCGGACCGGAGCGCUGAACCAAUCCCAGGCCAGGCCUGAGUGGACACUGGCCGCGCCCACUGUGUCUCGCAGCCCUUUUGAGGCCGCACGAAGCAUGUGGCCGUAUUGGAAAGGUUUGGGUCCCUACUGCAGAGAACCGGACAGAGAAAUGGCGAGCGUGCACAGACAGGAGAAAGGGAUUAGGAGGGGGCUAGAGCUGUAUCUGAAGGAUCCGAAGAGGUACGAGGAGAGCACUCCGGAUGUACUUGGGGACGAGACGGAGCGGAGUUGCACCGGUGGGAACUGCAGUCCAGUGCUGAAAGAAGUGCUUGCAGCAUUCUUGUCUUCUCCCUGAUGUCAGAAUUUCUCCUUUAAAUAUGAUGUCUGUCAGAGAUUUCUGUAAAUAUCCCUGUAUCAGAUUAAAUCAUGCCUAUGUGAUUAGCCUCCGUGAAAAACCCAUAAACCACAGAGAGCCUCCAGGUGGAUGAACACAUCCACGUGCCAGGCGGGCGGUGCCCUCCGACUCCACGGUGACAGAAGCGCCUGCGUUUGUCCGCACCUCACCCUUUGGCCAGCUCUAAGCUGAGGAUGAUGUGUUCAUUUAGGGGGCAGGAACAGACAAUGAACUUUCCCAAAGCUCUAAUAUCAUAUUUAGAGACCACCACUGUGGUCAGCGUUCCCACCUACUAGCUUGCUUGGAUUCAUUCUCACCUGGCUCACAGAAGUCCACCUGGACAGUGGACCAGAUAUCCUUACCCAGGAUAAAAGGUGCUGCUGUAUUAACCAGAAGACUUGUUACAUUAUUUGAUCCGGUAAAAGAGGUAAAAACAGGAGAUGUGGAGAAAACAGGAAGUGACACUGCCGAAGAGGAAGUAGAGGAAAAGGAAGAAGUCUGGAUGCUGCCAAGAAAACAACGUUCUACUGAACAAUGAAUCAAUCCGAAAAAGAGAGAAAGGCACUUUUUUUCUUGAAACAGCAAGCAGGAGAGCCUCACCAAGAAUUCAGGUAUUGGUAAUGACCUUUCAAGUUUUAGCCUUGUUAAACACACUUGGAAGGGUCAACCCUUCAUGGCCAACUGCUUUACUUUCAAGGUCUCCCAUCCUGCUGCUCCUCAGUUGCUCACUCACCUGAGAAGCACGGACACUGCAUUUCAUCUGCUACUCUCCAUGGCUCCUCGCCAUGCUUGAAAUUAAGGAUCAUAUCUGGUUUGGAAGCUUGACAGCCGGUUCAUGGGAAACGACAAAGACCUGGACACUUAUCACGGACUUGGUGGGGGAUGUCUACGAAGAGCACAGAACGUCUCCUGAACUGACACACUAGCACCUGGGCAGAUUAAAGAUCUAAUGAAGGAGAAAGCACAUUAAGUUCCAUCUGGGAACAGAAGAGGGACUGAGCAUCUGUCUAGAAGCUCAAGUCCAGGAUCUGGAAGCUCUUUGGAAGCCAGGGGAGCUGGAAGGGGGAAGCCUACUGGCUGUGCUCUCUGAGUGACGCAGGGCAGUCAUCCUUAACUGGUGUCACAGGUUGCUGUAAUUCUCCGACAUCACGUCCUGGUAGCUGCCGCUCCUCCUAGGUAAAGUCCACCGACACAUCCUCAGGUGACAUUAAUCCCUGCAAUUACCACACGUUCUUCUUCAAUUUGUGAUGAUCAUUUCUGAUGAGAAGAAGACCUACAGAUACACCUUCUGGUUGUUUUCACCAUUAGUUACAAAGGCUGUAUCUCUGUAACAGUUUUCAUUGGAAAGAAGUAAAGUGCCAUUAAAUCCAUCUGGCAACUGAACACCUAAUCCAGUAAAAUUAGAAGUUUUUGUAAGGCAUACUGAUUAAAUUCUACAUGUAAGACAUCCCUAAGAUAGUAAUCUCUGAAAACCAUUUUUAACGUCUAUUUAAAAGGUAGAGAACUAAGUGUUAACAUAUAAACACAGCAAGUAUCUGUCCUCAAAGAGCUUUUAUCUUGAACAUUUUCCAACAGAUAGAACAAAGAAUAGAAUCAGACAUGAAAUGACUACACGUGCAGGAAUUAUCAGCACUGAAUAUUAAUAGGAAUAUUCAAUAUAAAUAUUUAAUAUAUUGAGAAAUAAGCUAUCUUAAAUAUGGAGAAGGAAUAAGAUAUUAUUGAAAUGACCACUUAGAUGUAUAUAAACCAGAAGAAAAUUUUAAAAAUAGAGUCAAUCCUCAUUAUUUAUGGAUCUAUUGUGAAUUCACCACCUACUAAAAUUCCUCUGUAACCCAAAAUCAAUAGUCGCAGCACUUCUGUGACCAUUUGCAGACACACAGAUACAAUUCUAAAGAUGCCCCUCCAGAUUCCUGUCCCUUAAUUGGUCAAACAAACAUUAAUUUUGGAAGUGCUGUGAAGGGAGUCUGGAGAUGUGAUCAAGGUUACUAAUAACCUGACCACAAGAUAGGGAGAUUAACCUGAAUUAUCGGUGGGCCCAGUGCAGUCACAUACUAGUUUAAAGGAAGAGACAGUCAGAUAUGUGUCAGAAAGGGAAGCUGAAGAGAUCUGAAGUACAAGAGGAACUCAAACGCCUGCUGGAGGGGGAUCACAUGGAAAGCGUCAAAAGGAAAGGAGGCAGCCUCUAGGAGAAAAGAUUGACCCCUCAGCUGACAGCCAGCGAAGAAACAAUGAUCUCAGUCUUACAGUCACAAGAGAAUGGUCUCUACCUACAACCUGCAUAAGCUUGGAAGUGGAUUCUCGCCAGCACUUUGUUGGCCAGUACUGUGAUUUCAAUCUCAAGAAGAAGAGAGCAGGGAAACCAGCCACACUCACUCAAACUUCUGAUUUAAGGGACUGUGAAAUAAUACAUUGGCAGUGUUUUAAGAUGCUAAGAGUUGGUGAGAAUUCGUUUCAGCACCAACAGAAAACUAACACAUUAUUGAUACCAAAAACAUUAAAAACGUUUUUCUUUUAAUGGAGGUAAUGGGGAUUGAACCCAGGACCUUGCAUAUGCUAAGCACGCACCCUACCACUGAGGUAUACCUCCACCCCUCAAAAACAACUUGUAAUUCAAUUUAAAUACAUCAUAAAUUCUUACACAUGUA